RNAcentral lists this ribosomal RNA (253 nucleotides) under uncultured bacterium. RNAcentral describes it as "partial 16S ribosomal RNA". It matches the Rfam family "Bacterial small subunit ribosomal RNA", at positions 524 to 776 of the family's 1533-position model. The record is from RNAcentral.
UACGUAGGGGGCAAGCGUUGCCCGGAAUUAUUGGGCGUAAAGAGCUCGUAGGCGGUCUGUUACGUCCGCUGUGAAAACCCAGGGCUUAACCCUGGGCUUGCAGUGGAUACGGGUAGACUAGAGGCAGGUAGGGGAGAAUGGAAUUCCCGGUGUAGCGGUGAAAUGCGCAGAUAUCGGGAGGAACACCGGUGGCGAAGGCGGUUCUCUGGGACGGUACUGACGCUGAGACGCGAAAGCGUGGGGAGCGAACAGG